CAGCCCAAUUCAGCUAGAACUAGUUCAAAUGAGUGGAAUGAAGGUAGUGGAAGGGCUUUGAAGUUUAAGGAAAGCCAUAGGCUGUCUUACGACGAGAGGGAGAUGAGAAACAACGGAUACAAGACGGACUCGAAGUUGAAAGAGACACCUAGGUUGUCUUUGGAUAGUAGAUCAAGUCCUCCAGUGAGUCACAGGAGAUCGAGUUCGAGUGUUGUUGCCAAACUGAUGGGGCUUGAAGUCAUUGCGGACAAUUUUGAAACCGAGCAGAGAAAAGAGAACCUGUUUUGCGACUCCCCAAGGCCACAACCAACAGCUCUACAGAGAUCUAGAAGCGUUGGUUCCAUCAAGAAGAUACUACCUGCUUCUUCUAAGUUUCCAAUGGAACCAGCUCCGUGGAAGCAAAUGAAAGCAGGAGACGCUGCACCGACGGUUUAUGGAGAGAUUCAGAAGAGGCUUACGCAGCUGGAGUUCAACAAGGCGGGAAAAGAUCUCAGAGCUCUUAAGCAAAUACUUGAGGCUAUGGAAAAGACGCAGAAAACUCACCAGCCAGUUCCAGCUGCAACAAGUCCAGCUAUGAACUCUAAAUCUACAUCGAUCGUGGUAAUGAAACCAGCGACUCCAGUUUCCACUUCCUCGCUGCAACAGAAGGCCGCCUUGCCAAAUGUCAAUGUUGGCAACACCAGACAAACUCAAAAAGUCACCUCGGGGAAGCAGAACAUUGAUUCGACCAAGAGCACUAGCCCAAAACCAAUAAGGUCGAGGCAAACUUUGGUUGCUAAGUCAGGUAAGAGCCAACAGCAAAGCGUUAGCCCAAGAAUGCAGCCCAAAAAGAUCGGGUUUGAGAGGCAGUCGCGACCAACUACUCCAANNNNNNNNNNNNNNNNNNNNNNNNNNNNNNNNNNNNNNNNNNNNNNNNNNNNNNNNNNNNNNNNNNNNNNNNNNNNNNNNNNNNNNNNNNNNNNNNNNNNCCAUAAACCCUAAACCCUAAACUCUAAACCUAAAAUUCUAAAUUCUAAAUUCUAAACCCAAAACCCAAAACCAUAAACCCUAAACCCUAAACUCUAAACCUAAAAUUCUAAAUUCUAAACCCAAAACCCUAAACCCUAAACCCUAAACCAUCAACCCUAAACUCUAAACCUUAAAUUCUAAACCCUAAACCCAAAACUCUAAACCAUAAACCCGAACCAUGAUCAAGUAAUGAGUUUAGGGAUUAAUUUAGGGUUGUGUUUUGGGUUUAGGGUUUAGGAUUUAGGAUUUAGGGUUAGAGUUUUGGGGUUUGGGUUUAAGAUUUUGAGUUUAGAAUUUAGGGUUUAGGAUUUUGGGUUUAGAGUUUAGGAUUUAGGGUAUUGGGUUUAGGGUUUAGGAUUUGGGGUUUAGGGUUUAUGAUUUGGGGUUUAAAGUUUAGGGUUUAUAUUUUUGAUUUUUAGAGUUUUGGUUUUUACGGACGGUUUUAAUAUCGGUGUUGUUUUUCUGAGUUAUUUAUUUUUUAAUUUUAUUACUUUUUUUAAUUAAUCAUACAUGGCAUUUUGGUUGGUUAUAAAUAGUGAGGUGAAUUUAACCAUUCACCAUAGGGGUGAACCAAAGUAUUGUUCAGUCGCACGUACCAAGUGAUAUCCAAGGGACCAAACAUUAUAGAUAUUAGAUAAUCAGGAAAUGAGCUCAUUUUGAAUAUUAAGAUAGAAAUAACGAGAAAGUAAAGAUUGCAUCAGACAAAGCAUAAUGAUUCUUAUCAUAUAUGGGUUCCAUACUUUAUCUUUUGCAAUUGUACGCCCAUUUUGUAAAGUAACUCUGCAUUAGUUUUUUAUGGUUUACGGUAUUAUUAUGGCUCCAUUUCUUCUGCCCAUGUGUUAAACAAAAUGUAUUUUCUGCAAAGAAUAUAACAAACUAAUUUCCAAGGUACAUGUACUUGUGAGCUUAUAAUUACUUUAUGGGGUCUUAGAUUUGUGAAAGUAAAUGCCCAUAUGAAUAUAUGAUUACCACAACUCAAGAAACAUUUUAAAGCUAGCAUAUCCAACAAAUGAAUUAACUUGAUAUGGGUAAAAGUGUAAAUGAAAUGACCAUGUGCAUAUGAAAGAAGCUACAAAAAAAAUUAUUCUAAAAGAGUUAUCACAGUUUAAUCAUUAAAAUUACUUCUAUAUAUUUCACCUAAACACUAAACAUAACACUUGGAAUCAUGUAGCUAAACAAGAGCUACCGCGUGUUCGGUUUGAACUUUACGUUCUUAUGAGCUAACGGAUGCUUCUUUUGGUAAAGAAUACUAUAUGAUACAACAUGUCAUACUUUGUAAUGUUAAUCAAUAAUCAAGACCAACGUCUUAAAAUUAACCGAUCGAUAAACGAUGACAGAAAUCACUUUUUGUUUUUGGAUUUCCCUAAAAUUAGAUCUGUCGUCUCAUGUGACAUUGAAUUAUAGUAAUAGAUAACUAUAAGCAUGAAUGAAGAAAGGAAUCCUUGCUUAAUUAACAAUCUAGACGUUUAGAGAUGUAUCGAUUCAAAGACAUAUUUCAUCGUUUCUUACAAAUAAUAUACUAGCUUUUGCUUCACUAAUUAAUACUAAAAAUCACGGAAGUAAUAAUAUUAAUUAUCGAUGACCACAAGCCAGAUGAUUAAUUAUAGUACAUAGUCAAAUGUGAUGGCUUAAAUAUAUAGUCAGAAUAAAACCAGUACUAUUAAAUUCACGUAGAAUUGUUAUUCGUUAGAUUUUUUAUUAACAUUUUCCAAUAACUUCCAAGCAGGAAUUAUAUAGCCAUACGAAGAUGUGUAUGUAAUGUUGGCAUCCAAAAUCAAGGAGAGAAACCCCACAGAAAUUAAUGGUGAAGUUAAACAAAUGUUGAAUGGUGGAAGAUAAGUGGGAUCAUGUGCCAAUAGUUGAACUGGAUGAAUAGACAUUGAAACUUAACGUAAAAGAAUACACACUAGUCUUUUUAAUUGAUUUCAAAAUUGCUAUUUCUAAAAUAUUGUUGAAAAUGUAUGUUGGUUAGAUGGUUCCCCAUCAACCCCAACACCAAGUCUCACUUGCCCAAUUGCUUCAUGUGACUUUGUUCCCCUUUUAUCUUUUUCUUUUUUGUUCCCUUCCUCCUUUUUUCACUUGUCUAUUGUUUUCCAUUUAUUAUAGAUAUUCCAUCUUAUCGGGCGAAGUAUGUUUGGUGCAAUUAAUUGUUUUCAAAAAAAAUGUUUGGUGCAUUUAAUUUCUUUAUUUAGGAAAAAAUAUAUGUCCAUGUUUGACUGAUAGUUCAUUUUGUAAAAAUGUCACGUUCGAAUCUCAUCAGCUUCACGAAAGUAUUUAACAACGGACUCUUAUCUUAAAGAAAAACCAUUUUAAGAAAACAAUUUCCAUAUAAAUCAUAUAUAUAUAUAUAUAUAUGUAUAUGUUACUUGAUUAUCUAAUUUAUUCUUUUAAUUUGAUUGACAAUUCAACUUCAACAUCCUCACAUCACAACACUGUCGAUUUUUUCGUUCACCCUGUUAAUUGUUUUGAUGCAGUUAUGAACCAUUUAUAUAUACACAAACACUAAUUAAAUCCAUGCACCAUUCUUCAUCACAUUUUUCGUAGAAUCGAUUGUUAAUUAUAAUAACUAUGCGUACAGGGCAUGCAUGAUAUAUAUAACGUAGAUACUUGCUAUAUAUAGUUUGUGACUGGCGUAGAGAAAUAUCAACUAGUAAAAGCAAAUUUUUUUCCAAAAAUAGUGACUCUUCUUUAUCUUCGUAACACAUUCUCUCGCUCCUAAAACACUGAAAAGAUAAUCUUCGCUAGUGCGAACAACUUUUAGUAACAAUCAACCAUACUGAUCAUUGCAUAAAGUGUUGUUACGAUAAUAUACCAUUCACAUGAAGCUUCAAAAGUCGUUAAUCAUAAAUUGUUACCAAGGCAAUCAAUUAUUAAAAAUAAUGAAAAAUCAUUUAUACGGAAAGAUUGAAAAGUAUAAGAGAAAACAUUAAAGAUGACGCGCUUGAUAUUGUAAUAGUAUAUUCCUUGGUACUUACUAAGGUCAAAUCAAAUUAAUUUGUUUUCAUGCGAAUUAAAGAAAAACAUUUUUGUAAGAAGAAAAAUUAUAUAGAUAAUAUUUAUAAACCCCACCUUCUUCACAGCUCAUUGUGGAACAAAGCACGUGAUAUGUCCACAAGCUUUUUGUGCUUAGUGCAGACUCAGGACAUAACCCUCAAAUCAACGAAGACAAGAAGUAUAAGACGACGACUUUAUAAUAUAAUAACCCUCUACUUAUUUUACAUGCUAGAUUCCUUAAUUUUGAAUUUAAUAACUCACAUGCAAUAAAAGUUAUUACAUCAUCUUUUAAGCAAUCAAUUUAACACCUAGCAACCGACCAUUUUUUAUAACCAGAUAACAUUGAAUUAGAAUUUUCAGAAGUUGUUUUUAUAAAAAAAUUACAUCGAAAGUUUAUAAUCCUCCCGAUCUUUAGAAAGAGAGAAAUAAUCUUCUACUUAGCAAAAAAAAAAAAGAGAAAUAAUCUUCUGUCAAUACUUGUCGCUUGUCCACAAAACGCAAAUCAUCCGUAUUCCAUAUAAAUUAGUUACUUUCACUUUCUAUAACUAAAUAAUCUCCUUUCUUAGUGUCUGAACAAUUCCUUGUAAGACCCAUCAAUCUCAGUUCAUGCAUGCUAAAAAAAAAAUUCUCAGUCCAUGCAAGCUUUCUUCCAGUCACCAAUCCACUUUCUCUCAUAAUCAUUUAUUUUGAUUUCAUGCUGCCAUUAAAAUACUAAUAAUAUUUUCUUAUUCUUUUAGAUAAAUAUAUUAUUAUUUUUUUGUUCAAAAAUAUAUUAUUUAUUUAUUUUCAAAAAUUAUGUGUGUUUCUGACAAACUCCACAUGCUCAUGUAAAGGGCCACCAAGACUUCUAAAGACCCAACUCCAUUAUUUUGUCCACAUGGAUGUGAAGGAAAACUUAGCUAAUUAUAACUCAUACAAAAAAAAAAUUCAUUUAUAUAUUUCAUAUUAUUAUUAUUGUGAGACAUAACCAAAUAGCAUUUGGAGAUCAAAAUUUAAAGUUAAAAUACCCCCUCUAUCAAUUUUUAUGUUAUAACCAAAUUGUUUCUUAAUUAUGCUUUUAAUUAUACAUAACAUAACAGUGAAUUAUCAACUGCUAAUCGAUAAAAGAAACUCAAAUGACUGCUGAGAUAACUUUCAAAAAUAUGAUUUUUAUAGUAUUGGAUUAUUAUUAUUAUUAUUAGUAGUAGUAAAUUAUUCAUCAAUUUACUAUUUUACACCAACAAAUUAAGAUAAACUAAAUCAAUAAGAAUAAGAACGUUUCUUACAAUACAUCCAAAUAUAACCAGUUUUUUUUUUCUAAUUUCAAAAAAGCAUUUAACUUUGGUAUAAUAAGCUAGUCUUGUGCUCUCAUGUGCAGAACUUUCAUCGUAAAUAGGUGAACCAGAUUCCUAAUUAUUUGCCAAGCAGAAUUUUUCAGAGCUCUGACAUAAUUGAAAGAAUAUAUGAUAAAUACAAAAUUUGUACAUGUAUAUAACCUUACAUGUUAACACAUGUACAUUCUUACAUUAUAUAUGCUUCAAAGCUUUCCGGCGACAGUUGUAUCUUUUGCCUUUAAAGAAACAAACCUCUUUAUCAAAGAACUAAAACAAAAACCUUUUUUUCCACUUCUCUUCUUUCUUCUUCAAGGUAGCCUCCAAAGCAAAACACCAAAGAGCCUAAUCUGUUGUCUGGUCAUAACUUCAUAAGAAGCUCCUUAAUGCUGGCUUCUUCCUGUCCAUUUCUUCGUUUCUUCUCCAUCUGAAACACACACAAAAAGAAACGCUAAAUCCAGAACAGAGGAAGAAGACGAAGAAAUUGGUAACUGCAACAACAGAGUUUAUGAAAGUUCGUUUACUUAGUUAUUUCUUUUGAGAUAAGGAGUUAAGAAGAGGAAGAAGAUAUGUCUGCAAAACUUCUGUAUAACUUGUCAGAUGAGAACCCAAAUCUGAAUAAACAGUUUGGAUGCAUGAAUGGGAUCUUUCAAGUGUUUCACCGGCAACAAUAUCCGGCGAGACCAGUCUCAAGCGAUGUAGAAAAGUCUCUGCCUCCAGGUAACUUAAAUUCUCUCUAAAUCUCAGUUCAGUGUUUAGGACCACAAAGAAGAAACAGACUAGUUUCACUAGAACCAAAAACUACAGGUAACUUAAUAAGUGGCUCAUUUUGCAGGAGAAAGAAAGGAUCAUGCCAGUGAAAUAAACAUGGAAAGUGAUAAAGAAACGGUAAGAAUCUUAAACCCUUUGUUCAUUCAUCUCUGAGAAAUGAGAAUUCUGAAAAAGAAAGACUAAUAAAAAAACAGAAAUUGCAGGGAANNNNNNNNNNNNNNNNNNNNNNNNNNNNNNNNNNNNNNNNNNNNNNNNNNNNNNGAAAGAGUACCAAGAGGAAGAAGAAGUCUGCAGUGAAAGAAAAGCAUAGAGUAUCUUCUGAAUCAUCUUCACGGCCUUCCUUUUCGUCUUCUCCACGCUCCUCGAGCUUCUCGUCUACAGAAGUCAGUACCACGGCUUCUCAAUACGACCAGCCUGGAGAGAAGCAGAUCAGAGAACAGCCCAAUGCUAGGCCUAUGAUGCCAUUUGAUCUGAAGGAGCUUGUGAAAGGCUCUAUUAAUAGAGAAAUGAGAACCAGAAGUGAAGAAACAGCAGCCUUCACUCAGCAGCAGCAGCCCAAUUCAGCUAGAACUAGUUCAAAUGAGUGGAAUGAAGGUAGUGGAAGGGCUUUGAAGUUUAAGGAAAGCCAUAGGCUGUCUUACGACGAGAGGGAGAUGAGAAACAACGGAUACAAGACGGACUCGAAGUUGAAAGAGACACCUAGGUUGUCUUUGGAUAGUAGAUCAAGUCCUCCAGUGAGUCACAGGAGAUCGAGUUCGAGUGUUGUUGCCAAACUGAUGGGGCUUGAAGUCAUUGCGGACAAUUUUGAAACCGAGCAGAGAAAAGAGAACCUGUUUUGCGACUCCCCAAGGCCACAACCAACAGCUCUACAGAGAUCUAGAAGCGUUGGUUCCAUCAAGAAGAUACUACCUGCUUCUUCUAAGUUUCCAAUGGAACCAGCUCCGUGGAAGCAAAUGAAAGCAGGAGACGCUGCACCGACGGUUUAUGGAGAGAUUCAGAAGAGGCUUACGCAGCUGGAGUUCAACAAGGCGGGAAAAGAUCUCAGAGCUCUUAAGCAAAUACUUGAGGCUAUGGAAAAGACGCAGAAAACUCACCAGCCAGUUCCAGCUGCAACAAGUCCAGCUAUGAACUCUAAAUCUACAUCGAUCGUGG
RNAcentral lists this long non-coding RNA (7235 nucleotides) under Brassica napus (rape). Its description in RNAcentral is "long non-coding RNA (BNAP_LNC004726)". Lineage: Eukaryota; Viridiplantae; Streptophyta; Magnoliopsida; Brassicales; Brassicaceae. The record is from RNAcentral.